Molecule: ribosomal RNA, 555 nt
Filed under: Eolygus rubrolineatus
Lineage: Eukaryota; Metazoa; Arthropoda; Insecta; Hemiptera; Miridae
Description: partial small subunit ribosomal RNA
Rfam family: Bacterial large subunit ribosomal RNA
Source: RNAcentral
CCUCCCUCGCCCUGUUUUACAAAAACAUGGUCUUUUGUUUUAUAUAAAAGAUAUAACCUGCCCUAUGAUUUAUUUUAAAUGGCUGCAGUAUUUUGACUGUACAAAGGUAGCAUAAUCAUUUGUCUUUUAAUUGAAGGCUAGUAUGAAUGGUUGGAUGAAAAAUAUACUUUCUUUACUUUAUAUUAAAUAAAUUAACUUUUUAGUUAAAAGGCUAAAAUAAUAUUAUAGGACGAGAAGACCCUAUAGAACUUUAUUUUCUUUAUAUAUAAAUUUUAUAGUUUAUAAUAGAAUUAUAUAUUUAUGUUAAUUAUGUUGGGGUGACAGAAAAAAUAAUAUAACUUUUUCUAUUUUUUUCAUAUAUAUAUGUUUUUUUGAUCCUAUAUUAUAGAUAAUAAGAUUAAGUUACCUUAGGGAUAACAGCGUUAUUUUCUUUGAGAGUUCUUAUCGAUAAGAAAGUUUGCGACCUCGAUGUUGGAUUAAAAUAAGUGACAGGAGUAGAAUAUUGUUUAUUAGGUCUGUUCGACCUUUAAAUUUUUACAUGAUCUAGUUUCUAAC